Molecule: long non-coding RNA, 441 nt
Filed under: Homo sapiens (human)
Lineage: Eukaryota; Metazoa; Chordata; Mammalia; Primates; Hominidae
Description: HSALNT0398081
Source: RNAcentral
UGAACACUUGGAUUGUUUUCAUAUUUUAUCUUUUGUGAAUAAUGCUGCAAUGAACAUUCCCAUGCAAGUACCUGUUUGAGUCCCUGGAUUUAAUUCUUUGGGUUUUCACAAGCUCCAAAAGAUUCACUGUGCAGAACUGGAGGUUCUAGAGAAAGACCACGCCUCCUCCUGCAGUAUUUUGUCAUGGCAGCCCUAGCAAACUACUACAGGGACUGUGGGGGUUAGGAUGACACCAAGCAUCAAAUGCCACUCCCUGUUCCAACACUGAGACCAUUCCACAGCCCCUGAAUGACAAGACAGGCCUUCAAGCUCAAGACUACUUGGCUAGAGUCCUGUGUCACUCCGAGUAGAGCAAGGACCCUGUUGUCAUUGGACAUCUGCAGCCUGGAAAUGACUGGACAUGGAUGAAGCUGGAAACCAUUAUUCUCAGCAAACUAUCGC